RNAcentral lists this RNase P RNA (322 nucleotides) under uncultured Alistipes sp. RNAcentral describes it as "Bacterial RNase P class A". It matches the Rfam family "Bacterial RNase P class A", at positions 33 to 353 of the family's 367-position model. Rfam says of the family: Ribonuclease P (RNase P) is a ubiquitous endoribonuclease, found in archaea, bacteria and eukarya as well as chloroplasts and mitochondria. Its best characterised activity is the generation of mature 5'-ends of tRNAs by cleaving the 5'-leader elements of precursor-tRNAs. Lineage: Bacteria; Pseudomonadati; Bacteroidota; Bacteroidia; Bacteroidales; Rikenellaceae. The record is from RNAcentral.
CAGUCCGGGGGAGGAAAGUCCGGGCAACGCAGAGCGCCGUCCAAGUUAACGGCUUGAUGCCCGCGAGGGCAUAGUAACGUAACAGAGAAUGACCGCCCGCUUGUCGGGUAAGGGUGAAAAGGCGGGGUAAGAGCCCACCGCGGAGGCAGCGAUGUCGUCCGGCAGUACGUCUGACGGGUUGCAAGACCAUGUACACCGGCAGCUAAGGAUUGCUCGUCCGAUGCCGGGGGGUAGGUUGCUUGAGACGGCGGGAGACCGCCGCCCUAGAUAAAUGAUGGAGACGCCGGCUCCGGCCGGCGCACAGAACCCGGCUUACAGGGCC